Molecule: unclassified non-coding RNA, 211 nt
Filed under: soil metagenome
Description: partial contains 5.8S ribosomal RNA, internal transcribed spacer 2, and large subunit ribosomal RNA
Source: RNAcentral
AACACUGUUAACCUGCGGUACCUGCGGAAGGAUCAUUACCGAGUGCGGGCUGCCUCCGGGCGCCCAACCUCCCACCCGUGACUACCUAACACUGUUGCUUCGGCGGGGAGCCCCCCAGGGGCGAGCCGCCGGGGACCACUGAACUUCAUGCCUGAGAGUGAUGCAGUCUGAGCCUGAAUACAAAUCAGUCAAAACUUUCAACAAUGGAUCU